UUGUGCUCGCUCUGUCCACUAACAUUGGGAACGAUGCAGAGAAGAUUAGCACGGCCCGUGCACAAGAGUGACAUGAGCGUGUCAGUAGGUUCAUUACAAUCAC
Ochotona princeps (American pika) is the source of this 103-nucleotide small nuclear RNA. NCBI's taxonomy places the organism in Eukaryota, Metazoa, Chordata, Mammalia, Lagomorpha, Ochotonidae. The record is from Ensembl.